RNAcentral lists this small RNA (535 nucleotides) under Pongo abelii (Sumatran orangutan). RNAcentral's name for it is "retained intron". Lineage: Eukaryota; Metazoa; Chordata; Mammalia; Primates; Hominidae. The record is from RNAcentral.
UUUUUCAUCACCCCUAAAAGAAACCUGUCCCCAUAGCAGCCACCUGCCGUCUCCCCCUCCCUGAGCCCUGACAGCCAGGAAUGCACUUCCCAUCUCUGGACUUGCCUGUUGUAGACUGUUGUAGACGCUUAGAGAAAUGGAUGCAUUCACCGUGCCCCUGCCCUGCUUUUCCAGGUUUCUGAAGGGGCUGCAGGUGAGGCCGGCCCCUCUCUCAGCUGAGCUUCAGGCUGCGCUGGCCAUGGAGCCGACCCCCGGUGGGGUCAAAUACAUCAUUGCCACUCAGGUGGGGCCAGGGCCUCAAAUCCUGGAUGACCCCUGCGCCCACCUUCUGGGUCCUGAUGGCCUGCCGAAGCCAGCUGCCUGACUGCCUCAGCAGGGACCGCACGCCGCUUGGAGAAGGGGUGGCCUCGCCAGAGCUAGGGAGCGGGUGUGGUGGGCUGGCCGGACUACUGGGACAUGUGGGUGGUGGCUUGAUCCCGGGCCCAUGGACAGCUUGCUGUGGGGCAGUGCAGGGAGUCCUGCGGCCGCCCAGGUG